Non-coding RNA from Rhopilema esculentum, 5060 nucleotides. The record is from RefSeq and is a predicted model, not a curated record. NCBI's taxonomy places the organism in Eukaryota, Metazoa, Cnidaria, Scyphozoa, Rhizostomeae, Rhizostomatidae.
GUUUUUUCUCGCACAUAUAUUGCUGGAAUGGCGAAUCGAAAAAGUAAUUGGGAAUGGGGUAGAAACAGACAUCAUCAAUCACAAAGCACAAGGCAAGAAAGAAGAUUUGGCAAAGAUACUUCUAAUUUUGCGCAUGCAUGCACACUAGUAAUAUAUUGUUCUUUUUAAAUGACAGUCUCCUUACAAACAAAACCGUGUUUUUUAAACCAUCUUCGGAAAAUAAACAUCUUUUCUGCGUAGCAUAGGGCUUUGAUUGACCACUGUUUUUUCACUUUCUUCUCCUUUGGCAAAAUUUUCUUGCCUUCAACAGGUCGGACCAGAAAUCAACUCAAUUUUUUCACUCUGAACUUCGGGUAUGAUGAAAUCACAUGUACUUAAAUAGGUUUGGCUGACUAUGACAUUUUGAUGAGACUAGUAUUUGCCAUGUCUUGAAAAUCCUGUUUACGUUGUAAAUGAGAGGAAGAGUUCCUAAUCUAAAUGUAAAUGAGAAGAAAUCUCUCAUGAAACAAUAUCCGCAUCAACCUGUUACAUUCUACAAAUGGGCGUCAAAAUUAGGCCAAGUGACGGAGUAGACCAAAUUUGGCACGGCUAAGCCCGCUAACUUAGUUUUGAAAUCGUGAAAAUCAUUAUUUUCUUGAGAUAUUUGCUCUCUCUAUAGACUGUUGUUGCUUUGGUUUUUAUGUAACUGCUCUUUCGUCGUCGCUGCUGCAGGUACUAUUUCUGUUAUUUUUGUCUUAUCUUAAUUACGAACGCGAUUGGUAAAGUUAAAGAAAAGUUUUUGCGCUCAAAGUUUUAGCAUGGAGCAUAAAUUGGUUCAAGAUACAUGGGAGCAUAAAUUGCAAGAUUCAUGUUUUGAUUAUAUUCAAGCCCAAUAAAUGUUUGUCUUGAUACCUACUAUACAAUUAAGAAAAUCUAAUGCUGCCAAAGUAUAUAAAACAAUUAAAUAAUUUUUGAAAAAGAAUGCUUGCCUUUCACUAUAGCUCAAAUGGGGUUAUUUUUCCAUAAUUUGAGCUGAAGACCAUUUCACUAGUUUUCCAGCAGAAUUUUGUAAAAAUAGAAAUCAAAAUACGUAUUUCGUCACUGUUCAAUGCAUUGCAUUGUAAAUUUUAUCAGCGCAUAUAUCGUUAAUAUGGAGAUACGCAGGAUGGGCUGUCCGUCGGAUUCUGUGAAUUUUGUUAUGAGUUCAGAUUUAAGGUACUAGGCAGAAACAAAGCAAAACGACGACAAGAAUCCAAUAUGUUGUAAAAGCAAAUUUUCGAAAUGAAUUGAAUGCAAAAUUAGCAUUUCGCUCUGGCACCCAAGGUUUAAUCUUAGUCAAUGUAACAAAUCAAUAAAUGAUAAGCUCUGAAUAAGAUUAUGAUAAGAGCUGAAAUUUUGAAUUGUAAUUUUAAUCCUUUGUUGGUGAAAACUGUAUGAAUUUCCUACCAUGGAAGAUCAUUCUCAACCAUGGAAUCCAGAAAAUUUAAAGAAAAAAGUUUUAUUGUACUGAUCUUCUUUAACUAACUGCCCAGUUUGUAGCGCUCUUAGGAUCUGACAAAAUCACAAUCGACACAGUUUUACUGAAAGGAUUAUAAAUUGACGAGAGUCAUCCCACUUGCUAUUUAUACACUUCCGUCCGCAGAUAUUCUGAAUAUACCUCGAACAAUUCUUGAAUUCAAGGAAACUGGCUCUUCUCUGCUUCCUGCAGGCCAAUUAUGCAACAACUAUACAGCUAGGAAUUUUGAUGAUAUCAUUCACCCCCUGAGGGAGGAUUUAUUGCUACGCACAAAAGACCACUAUCCCCUUGUCUAGGUUGGCUUGCUAGAAGAAUGGUUAGGUGACAACUGCAUAAAAAUCUAUUUUUAAAAUUUGGACUGUAUAAUCUUGUACUUAAUUAGCCUUUGAAAGCUUAGUGUCAGUCAGUGAAGCCUCAUGCUUGAAAAAGGCUGACCUUUAGUUCUAGAUCAGUAUGUUUAGAUAGCAGUGAACCUUCUCCAAUAAGAGCACUAUGCAGACUUAUAAAGAGAGUUGCCAAUCAUUUGUAUAUGAAAAUAUCGUCCAUUUAGAGGUACAGUGAGAUGGCACCAUUGGUUGAUUUUUCCUCUGAAAGGGACGUACAGCGCUCAUUGUCUUUUGUAGUAUAAGAUAAGCAUGUGUUUGUUUCAAAUUGAAGGUGUGCUAAUGCAAAUUGUGCUGAAAUACUUCAAAUAAUUUUUUUAAGUAAGAUAGCCAUUUUUUUCUUUUGUACGAUGUUUAAAAAGUAAAUUUGACAAGAACAAGUUAUAAUGAUGAUGCUAUUGGGAUUUGGGAGCAUGAUAGGCAAGGCUACCCAUUGACCUCUUUAUGCUAUUGUAUAACAGCAAUACCAAGUAGUUUGAAGGCAAAGCCCUUUCGUUAUUAAUGCCUCACACAAUCUUUACUAAAAUAAACAUAGCGAUGUUGUAGUUGUUGCUCUUUCAUGUUAAGUAUGCUCAGAAUAGACAUCUCAUCAAGUCCCUGUUACAGUUGUCCGCGAAAUCAUCUAUCCCUGUUACAUUUUUCAGUUAUUACUUUUCACAAUAAUAUUGUUUAUUUCAAUAUUUAAUUAUUUCUUUGGUAUCACAGAACGACAAUUCUAAUGCUCAAACUUGAUAAUUACCCUAUCUUUACCUCUUCAAAUUAAAGGUUUGCAAGAAGUUAAGAAGAUGGCCAGUAGCUACCAAUAAUCGUUGCAUAUCAAAAGAAGAUCACUUUGAGAUUUGAGGAGUAUCUUGAUUCAUCAAAUAGGACAACACAGAGAAAAUUCAAUGCUGCUGUCCGAGAAAAAAGUGCGUUGAACGAUAAUGACCUAUGCUGGGAAGAAAGGAGCAUCACUAUUAAUUUUUUGUUGAAAUGAAGGAAACAAGAAAUACAUUUACACUCCAAUAUACAAGCAUGUAUGUCGACAGCGAGAGAUCAAUUUAAGAUUAAGAUCAGAAUUCUAAUGGCUCGUUUAUGGUUUUCAUGUUCUAGUAUAACCUGUUCGCAUAAAAGGCAGAAAGAGAUGUUUCCAUUAACAAGGGUACUAAUACAGUAGAAACGUGACAGUUCGAUUACAUUGCUGCUCAAGGAAGGAUUUUGUCAUUUGGAAGUCUGCAGUUUUUUGUACAAAGGACUUCUUUAUGUCUGAUUGAAGAUUAUAACCUAACUAAAAAGCUGCCUCAAAGAUCAAUCUUAAUUCACAAGCAGAGGUAAGUGACUUUGGAUCAGCUUAGGCAGUCAAUGCCAUUAAAACUGUCUUAGACGACUUAAGAAUAGGCUGGCAGCGUAUUAUGGUAAUUUACAUAAUAUUAAAGAACAUGACGCUUCUAGAAUGGAAUAAUUUCUGUUCCGCAAUUCAACAAGUAAAAGCAUCAAAUUAUAAUUUCGUAUGCUAACCAAGUUUCUAGUAAUUAAUUACCAAAGAUGUCUGUUUGAGCUGUCUCAAGACAGGUCGAUAUCUGCAGAUAAGAGUCUACUGUGAAAAGCGUUCUAUGAACAUCUUUAAUGAUAUGUCAUUGAAAGCUGUUCUUACACCUCUAAAAAAGACCAAGCUAAUCAGAAGAAGAAGGAGCCUUGAAAGGUGUACAAGAGGCUAAUUAAUAUCGCUAAUAACAUGUAGACUAUGAUUUUGUUCAAUCCAAUUCAACAUUAGCUAUGAAGUUACCAAUUUCCAAGGUGCAGGGUUUUUCAUUUUUUUAACGAGAGGAUACGUACUAGAAAAGCUUUUGGAAUUGUUAUGCUCAAUAAUACCAAGGAAAUCAAUACAGAAUUCUUUUUUGCUGGAACAACAAAUAUGUAGCUUACUGUAAUGUAUUAGGCAUAAACCAUUUUAUACUAGCCUCGGAUUGGAGUUCAGGGAUUAGAUCAGGGUCGGAAUGAAAACAGUCUUGUCUCGUGUGCUCUCUAGGUCUAGCGUUAGGUCGCAGCGGAUCAUAGGCAUCGCGCGAACAUACACAACACUUACAAAUAAAAAAAUGUAUCAAUGGUGUUUGUAUUAUCCUCUAAUUUUCUCCUCAAAUUAUAGAAAUUCACGUGCUUGUGUUUAGAUUUAUAAUCAAUAUUGCAGAAAAUUUCAACAAUAAAGAUAAAACAUGUAGAAAAAUAUCUUAACAUUUACGAAGCGCCUUUUAGAAAAAUAAAUAUAUAUAGAAACACUACCAAGCUGCAGAGUCACUGACACUAAUGCUAGCCAUUCAAGAAUUAUCCAAAUUUCUUUCUACGAUAUUUUGGUGUUUUGAUGGCUCGAUAAAAUUAGGUAUGUUCAUUCUAUUUUAAUGGUGCCUUGCUGCUAUUGCUCUUAAAUAUAAUUUUCUUUAGCCACUUUAUGAUAAACACUACAGCUAAAUACGGGAGAUUUAUGGGAGAUUUUGGACAAUUAUUAAUAGUUCCAAACCAUAGGCAAUAGAAAAAUCUCUCGUCUGAAAGUCCUUUGUUUUAUCCUUUUGUUUCGCGCGCCGACUUGAAGCCAGCCUAUUCGUAGGUCACAUGAUCAAAACGAGUGCAUAAACAAAUUUUGAAAUGACGGAUGCUGAUGUUUAAGUGCGCAGACAAGCCUUAAACUCAAACUCAAAGCUCAAAAUCUUUUUCACAGCAUCAGCAGGUUAAUCACGUUAUACUGACAUAUAAAAAGGAAAAAUAUUGGGUAUUAAUACAAUGAUAAGAAAACUUUUAAAGACGUUAUAUCGCAAACUUGUUGGCUGAAGGAUACAUGGAAAAAACUCAAAAAGAGCUAUCGAGUCAAUCAAGAUUUUAUCUUGAGGCCGUGUGUCCUAUUGGAGGGUUUAGAUUCAGAAGCUGCUAAGAUUUCGAUUAAAUACUUAACAGAAAGUAAUGACUAAAAUUUGACUAAAAUCAGAACAAAAACAAUAACAAGAUGAAAUAAUAUUAAUACAGAAGUAGCGAAAUAAAGUAAUAAAGUUUUACCAACUGAUAGUAAAUCUACUGCUUUUGGAGCCACAACAGGCUCUAGCGUCCCAGCAUUUGACACGCAAUCAGCAUUCGCAGCAUCAGCUGGCAGUGUACCCAGCGAAUAGUUUAGACUUCAUGUUUUUUGUCGAAAAAAGCUUGACGAACUGUUAAAC